GAGCUGACUAGUGGUUAGACCAUAGUGCUUUCAACGCUGCAGCCUGGGUUCGAUCCCUAGCCAGUACU
RNAcentral lists this transfer RNA (68 nucleotides) under Pangasianodon hypophthalmus (striped catfish). Its description in RNAcentral is "tRNA-Glu". The record is from RNAcentral. Lineage: Eukaryota; Metazoa; Chordata; Actinopteri; Siluriformes; Pangasiidae.